AUAAAUAAGCGGAGGAAAAGAAACCAAACGGGAUUCCCUUAGUAACGGCGAGCGAAAAGGGAAAUGUCCAGCACCAAGUCUUGACAUGUAGGGUGUUCAAGAGAUGCGGUGUUAAUGUAUCGACCCAUCGUGCACUGUUCCACAUUUCAAGUUCCCACGACCGGGACUUCCAGAGCGGGUGUAAGACCCAUAGAGAUGAGGAACCAGUGUAUGCUGAGCGAUGCAUUCUAGAGUCAGGUUGCUUGAGAGUGCAGCUUAAAGUCGGUGGUAAACUCCAUCCAAGACUAAAUAUUACAGCGAGACCGAUAGCAAACAAGUACCGUGAGGGAAAGUUGCAAAGCACUUUGAAGAGAGAGUUCAAAAGUACGUGAAACCACUGGGAGGCAAACAGAUGGAACCACGAAGUGUGCGCCUCGGUCGAUUCAAUCAUCACCAUUGGUCAGUUUUUGUAGGUUAGUAUCUUUUYGGAGAUUGAUCUGCAAAAACUAUGACAAGUGGUGUUGGUGCAUUUCGUGCCGGGGAUGCAAAGCCACGUUCAACUAGAGUUGGGACGGCUGUAAGAAAGAAUCCGAGAAAGGUGACCGUCACGUGCUUGCAUUUGACGGCGUUAUAGUCUUGGAUUGGCACCGUCRCCAAACAUACUGGUUGAUGCAAGUUCUCCAUUUGGAGUUGAACCAUGUCUGCCUGUGGCUGUUAGUCGAUGUUGCGUAAUGUUCUUUGCGUAUCUUUCGAUGCGAAAAGACUUUGCAAAAAUGUCGGCUAGUGGUUGCUUGCGUGACAUGGURGAACUGUGGCGUGAGUAGGUCGGUCUCCAUCUGACCCGUCUUGAAACACGGACCAAGGAGCCUAUCAUAUACGCGAGUCGCUCGGUCUUGUUUAGGCCUGGGAGGCGUAAUGAAAGUAAAGUUACGAGACUGUAACARGUYGCAGUAACGGCUCGCCCACUUUGUUUAUUGGCAAUAUGGCGAAGCUGGAGCGUAUACGAUGGUACCCGAAAGAUGGUGAACUAUGCCUGGGCAAGACGAAGCCAGAGGAAACUCUGGUGGAGGUCUGUAGCGAUUCUGACGUGCAAAUCGAUCGUCAGACCUGGGUAUAGGGGCGAAAGACUAAUCGAACCAUCUAGUAGCUGGUUCCCUCCGAAGUUUCCCUCAGGAUAGCAGGCGUUUUUUGUUGCAGUCUCAUCCGGUAAAGCUAAUGAUUAGAGGUCUUGGGGUUGAAACGACCUCAACCUAUUCUCAAACUUUAAAUGGGUGAGAUGGUUGACUUUCUUGAUUGAAGCCAACCAUUUGGAUGCAAAUGCCUAGUGGGCCAUUUUUGGUAAGCAGAACUGGCGCUGUGGGAUGAACCAAACGUCGAGAUAAGGCAUCAAAUGCGUACGCUCAUCAGACCCCAUGAAAGGUGUUGGUUGCUAUAGACAGCAGGACGGUGGCCAUGGAAGUCGGAAUCCGCUAAGGAGUGUGUAACAACUCACCUGCCGAAGCAACUAGCCCUGAAAAUGGACGAUGCUGUAGCGUGGAGCCGAUACUCGACCGUUAUGGCGAUUUAAUUAUGAUACGAUGUCAUAACGAGUAGGAGGGCCGCAGUGUUAGCGUUGAAGGUGUCCGGCGUGAGCCGGCCUGGAGCUAUCAUUGUU
This 1633-nucleotide ribosomal RNA is filed under the name Proctophyllodes fuchsi. RNAcentral describes it as "eukaryotic LSU rRNA". It matches the Rfam family "Eukaryotic large subunit ribosomal RNA", at positions 42 to 1443 of the family's 3401-position model. The record is from RNAcentral. Lineage: Eukaryota; Metazoa; Arthropoda; Arachnida; Sarcoptiformes; Proctophyllodidae.